CCCUGCGCGGACCCGGCGUCCCUCGGUGGCGGCGCGGCGGGAGGGAGGAGCCGUUUUCCGCGGACGGUUUUGCUGCCGAGCUGCGCAGGCGCCUUCUCCUUCCCAGCGCGGGCGCCACCAGCGCGUCUCGCCCUCUGCGGUUGCGUCUGAGCACCAGGACACCCCAUCCCGCCUCCUGGCCCGUCUCGUCGCUUCGUGCCUUUGCUCUUCCUAGCAAGUGUGGAGGUAUCGGUGCCUGGGAUGUCUUCACCGUGUCCGUCGGAGAUCCGGAUUGUCCACACGUGAUGGACUGAGCCAGAGCAAAUCCCGAUUGCGGAGCAAUGCCGGUGUCCUCCACUCGGGGUUUCUUAGCGGGGGGACGUCACCGUGUAGCCACACAGGUCAGAGUGAGCCGAGCGAUGGUGAUUUCCUAGCCCAGCACGUCCCGGGUAAUGACCUCGGCUCCUCCAUCCCCAGAAGGAUUUUGUUACUCUGAGCAGUACAGGUCCAAGUGGCAUGAUGCUGAAGGCACUGGCUCCCACGUGACUGAUUCUGCAGCUGUAGUCCUGAUGCAGCAGCUUGGGGAACACAUAGGGAUCCCCAAGCAGAAGGGGAGCUGAGGCCCGACUCCAUGCCUGCCAUGGCCAGCAAAGUGGAUCUGUCUCUAGAGGACAUCACCAAACUGAACCGCAGCCAGCGGUGCCCUGAACACGGCGAAGAGCCAAGGGACACCUAUCCUGAGAAGCAAGGAGGCACAGGUCACAUCUGCCCAAGGCCAGCACUCUAAAGCAGGCCCAGGUGACUCUCAGACCAGCGUCAGCACCAUGUGACUGACUGUGACUUCAGAGGCGGUGUGGGCUCCAAGUCCCACAGGCAGCAGCUGCUGCUGCUGUCCAACCUGUACCCCAGUGUGUCCAACACAUAUAUCCAGACGUUCUUGGGCUAAUUUGGAGCAUUCCAGAAGCAGGAAGCUGUGCACUAUGAUGGCUCUGGUCACAGCUUGGGCACAGCCACUAUGUACUUCCAGUGGAAGGCUAAUCCCCUGAAGGUGCUGAGGGAGUACUACGGUGUCCCUUUGGAUGGCUGCCCCUUGAGCAUCCAGGUGGUCACCUUGCCCAGGGAUAUUCCAAAGAUACCUACCCCAAGUAGGAAUGGAGGAGGCCUGAACUGGAAGCGUGGUUCAGGUGGUCAGCUCCUGGCCAUGGCUCCUGGUGAGGUGGCACGAGAAAAGACUAAGUUCUAGACCACCAUUCAAAGCAGCAGCUUGUGCAGAGGAACUGGACACCCAACUCAAUGCCUACAAAGCCACUGCUGUCACAAGAAAAGGACAAUCCUUAACUAGACCUUCAAAUCCUGGUGGGGCACAGAUCUUGCUCAGUUUUCUGCUCCCAGGCGGAAGACAGAGUGCCCAAGGCUGUGGGCCCAACGUUGAGUUUCUUUCUCUCACAUUGUACAAUAAAAUUUAAA
This is a long non-coding RNA of Tupaia belangeri chinensis (Chinese tree shrew), 1446 nucleotides long. RefSeq lists it as uncharacterized. The record is from RefSeq and is a predicted model, not a curated record. Lineage: Eukaryota; Metazoa; Chordata; Mammalia; Scandentia; Tupaiidae. The transcript has 4 exons.